AGACAUAAGUGGCUGAGAAUGAAAAGAACAGAGACCCUUGAUGAUUGGCUUGGUAGUGCAUGCAUUGUUGCGGGCUGUUGGCUGGGAAUGAACCUACGGGUUAGUAACAUAGAAGAACCUAAGAGUUCUCACUGUUUGGUACCCUCGGCUUGGAAAAGUAAAAGAAAAAGCGACAGCUUAUUGAGACAUAAGUGGCUGGGAAUGAAACGAAAAGAGACCCUUGGUGAUUGGCUUGGUAGUGCAUGCAUUGUUGCGGGCUGUUGGCUGGGAAUGAACCUACGGGUUAGUAACAUAAAAGAAUCUAAGAGUUCUCAAUGUUUGGUACCCUCGGCUUGGAAAAGUAAAAGAAAAAGCGACAGCUUAUUGAGACAUAUGUGGCUGGGAAUGAAACG
This 392-nucleotide long non-coding RNA is filed under the name Capsella rubella. RNAcentral describes it as "long non-coding RNA (CRUB_LNC004076)". The record is from RNAcentral. Lineage: Eukaryota; Viridiplantae; Streptophyta; Magnoliopsida; Brassicales; Brassicaceae.